UUGACUUGGAUGGAUGGAAGGUGGAGGGUGGGGGCCAGCACCAGUUGGAACGAAAGGGGAGGUUGAUGCACGCAUGCAUGGCCUGGGUGGAAAGGUCCGCAUCGAUCAAAGAAUUGUUUCCCGCCCCUGAUUUCACCUGGUUUUGGUGGUCCGGUGAUGUCACGGGGCCGGCGGGGUGGAAGACAACACAUUUUCAACGCUUCCUAUUAUUGCAAGAACUGGAACCCCUUAAUUUCAACCCAUGUUAUCGUUCUUUUCUGGUUCUUUCCUUCCUUUGUUCCAAGGUUCUUCUUCCUCUGAGAAUAUACGAGAACCGGCAAAGGGAUAAUAUGCUUUCGUGCUCUCUAAAUCUAGAGAGAAAUUAAGCCGGUGCGGGCGAUGGACCAUCAGUGUCGAGGGCAACCGAUGGAGAAAAUCGAUGGGUAGGAGCACGAGGACAACAAUGAACCCGUCUUGUUAGUGCGUGGCAGGCGGUCUGGGGAUAGAGGGGAUGGCGCUUCGAGGCCUCUGUGGUAAUUAACUAGGCGCACAUUAGCGAUGUGAGUGAAAGCUAAGCAAGCAAUUUACUUGGUCGGGUAGAGUGACAUGCAUGGUUGGUGGCUCACUCGGUUGACUUGGAUGGCAAGUGGAGCAGAGGCAAGGCCCGACAUCACGUUGAAAGAGAAUGCAUGGUUUGCAAAGGUCCAGAUCAAAGAAUUGUUUUCUCGUGUGUUUUUCACACGAUCUUGGUGGUCUGAUGAUGUCAGUAGAAGACAACAUUGUUCCUGUGUUCGUUAAACAGGUUCGUUCAUUGCUAUUUGUUUUCUGGGUUUCCCAGUAUUCAGAUAAUCAAGUUUACCUUAUUCUCCUUGUUUUUCUUCCUUCGUUUCGAGCUUCCUCUUUCCCGACAUAAAAAAAACU
This 900-nucleotide long non-coding RNA is filed under the name Brachypodium distachyon (stiff brome). RNAcentral describes it as "long non-coding RNA (BDIS_LNC004268)". The record is from RNAcentral. Lineage: Eukaryota; Viridiplantae; Streptophyta; Magnoliopsida; Poales; Poaceae.